CAGGGAUCCACCCCAUAAUCAGCUUCCAAACGCUGACACCAUUGCAUACACUAGCAAGAUUUUAUCGAAAGAACCCAGAUGUAGCUGCCUCUUGUGAGACUAUGCCGGGUUCUAGAAAACACAGAAGUGGAUGCUCACAGUCAGCUAUUGGAUGGAUCACAGGGCUCCCAAUGGAGGAGCUAGAGAAAGUACCCAAGGAGCUAAAGGGAUCUGCAACCCUAUAGGUGGAACAAUAUUAUGAACUAACCAGUACCCCGGAGGUCUUGACUCUAGCUGCAUAUGUAUCAAAAGAUGGCCUAGUCAGCCAUCACUGGAAAGAGAGGCCCAUUGGACAUGCAAACUGUAUAUGCCCCAGUACAGGGGAACACCAGGGCCAAAAAAAUGGGAAUGGGUGUGUAGGGAAGUGGGGGGGGGUAUGGGGGACUUUUGGGAUGGCAUUGGAAAUGUAAUUGAGGAAAAUAUGUAAUAAAAAAUAUAAAAAAAAGAAAAUGAAAAAAAAUAAAUUAUACAUUGUAAAUUUAAAUAAAGAAGGACAAAAUUUCUGAAAGUACUUGUUUUGGGCAGUGUCAUUACAGUUAUUCUAAGGAGCCUGGAGAGAUGGCUCAGUGGAUAAGACUGAUGACUGCUCUUGUAGAAGACCCAGAUUCAGUUCUCAGACCCCACAGAACCCACAUCUGGCAGCUCACAGUUCCAGCUCCAGAUGCCCUCAUCCCACAAGUAGACACAUACGUAUACACAGAAUUAAGACCAACUAAUUGCAAUGUAUUUAUUUAUGUAUGUAUCUUGGAGGGAUAACCUGUUUCCUUUUAAUUUUUUGUUUGUUUUGAGAUAGGACCUCACUAUGUGGCCAAGGAUGACCUCCAACUCCUGAUCCUCCUGCAUUCACCUUCCAAGAGCUUUAAUUUUAGCAGUGCUAUCAUACCUGGCCUCAAGUGUUUUUAAAAACUGUUAAAAAAAAUUGGAGCCGGGCUCAGGUAUAUUGCCUAGUGGUUAAAGCCCUUGCUGUACCUUUAAUCCUAGUACACAGAAAGCAGACCCUAUGAAUUUGAGGCCAAAUUGGCCUACAUGAUGGGAGAUAUUCUGUCUCAAAUAACGGUGAUGAUUACCAAGGAAGACCUCUGCAUGAGUGUAAAGACUCACUGAGCAUGCACACCCAGGG
Molecule: long non-coding RNA, 1159 nt
Filed under: Mus musculus (house mouse)
Lineage: Eukaryota; Metazoa; Chordata; Mammalia; Rodentia; Muridae
Description: long non-coding RNA chr5:145261853-145263012
Source: RNAcentral